AAGAGGAGGAGGGGGAGGGGCGCGACGAGGAGGGGGAGGAAUACGACGAAGAGGAGCACGAGGAGGUGGGGGCGGGGCUAUGGCUUGGGGGCGGGGUUUUCAUUGGUCGGGGCUGGGGUUGGGGGCGGGGCUAUGGAAUGGUNNNNNNNNNNNNNNNNNNNNNNNNNNNNNNNNNNNNNNNNNNUGUUAGUUUUAAUUGGAUGGGACUAGGGUAGGGGGCGGGAUUGUAGAGGGGACUGGGUUACGAUUGGAUGGGGCUUGGAUUGGAGGCGGAGCUAUGGGCUGGUGUCAGUUUUAAUUGGAUGGGACUAGGGUUAGGGGCGGGGCUAUGGGUUGGGGGCGGGGCUAUGGAAUGAUGUUAUUUUUAAUUGGAUGGGGCUGGGGUUGGGGGCGGGGCUAUAGAGGGGACAGGGUUCCGAUUGGAUGGGGCUUGGAUUGGAGGCAGGGCUAUGGAAUGGUGUUAGUUGUAAUUGGACGGGGCUUGGGUUGGGGGCGGGGCUAUGCUAGGAUGGGUUUGGGUUGGGGCCGGGGCUUUGGGUUGGGGCGGAGCUAUGGGUUGGGUCAGUUUUAAUUGGACAGGGCUAUCGUUGGGGGCGGGGCUAUAGGUGGGGCAGGACUGUGGUUGGGUGGGGCUUGGGAUGGGGGCGGGGCUAUAGAGGGGACAGGGUUACGAUUGGAUGGGCUACGGGUUGGAGGCGGUGGGGUCAGAAUUGGGGUGAUGGGGUCAGGAUUAGGAUUGGGACUAAUGUUGGGAUUAUGGGGUUGGGAUUAUGGGGUCAGAAUUGGGGUUAUGGGAUUGGGAUUAGGAUUGGGAUUAACAUUGGGAUUAUGAGGUUGGGACUAUGGGGUCAGGUGAUGGGUUCAGGAUUAGGAUUGGGAUUAACGUUGGGAUUAUGGGGUUGGGGUUAUGGGGUCAGAAUUGGAGUGAUGGGGUUAGGGUUCAGAUUGGGAUUAGCAUUGGGAUUAUGGGGUUGGGGUUAUUGGGUCAGAAUUGGGUUUAUGGCGUUGGGGUUAGGAUUGGGAUUGGGAUUAGCUUUAGGACUACGGGGUUGGGGUUAUGGGGUGAGAAUUGGGGUUAUGGGGUCAGGGUUAGGAUUGGGAUUGGGAUUAUGGGGUUGGGGUUAUGGAGUCAGAACUGGAGUUAUGGGGUCAGGGUUGGAUUCAGAUUGGGAUUAACAUUAGGACUGCAGGGUUGGGGCUAUGGGGUCAGAGUUGGAGUUAUGGGGUCAGGGUUCAGAUUGGGAUUGGGAUUAUGGGUUGGGGUUAUGGGGUCAGAAUUGGGGUUAUGGGGUUGGGGUUAGGAUUGGGAUUAACGUUGGGAUUAUGGGAUUGGGGUUAUGGGAUCAGAAUUGGAGUUAUGGGGUUGGGGUUAGGAUUGGGAUUGUGAUUAU
RNAcentral lists this long non-coding RNA (1391 nucleotides) under Phasianus colchicus (ring-necked pheasant). RNAcentral's name for it is "lncRNA (ENSPCLG00000013852.1)". Lineage: Eukaryota; Metazoa; Chordata; Aves; Galliformes; Phasianidae. The record is from RNAcentral.